GACCUUUGAAAUCUCGCCGCGCCAUUCUAUAUUAAGGGUGUCGGCUUCGGUCGACUAUGGCGAUAAACGGCUAUGCGGAAUAGACGUAGCGGACCCGGGGGCAGUUCCCGGCGCCUCCACCAAUUUCUGGUACGGUCAAAAUUUCGUACGAUCUAAGACUUUGGGGGCGAAUCAGGCUCGACGUGCGUUGAAAGGCUUAGCUUUCGCCCGGUAUGAUACCGCCGUGAUGGGUCAAAACACACAAAUGCCAACGACAAUGACGUCAUGGCUGUUGCUGCGUAAGCAGUAACUGGGGUUCGGGAGGCACCUCGCAACAGAAGCCUCCCACU
This 329-nucleotide transfer-messenger RNA is filed under the name Alphaproteobacteria bacterium. It matches the Rfam family "Alphaproteobacteria transfer-messenger RNA". Rfam says of the family: Bacterial tmRNA, also known as 10Sa RNA or SsrA, is named for its dual tRNA and mRNA-like properties. Its role is to liberate the mRNA from a stalled ribosome. To accomplish this part of the tmRNA is used as a reading frame that ends in a translation stop signal. The record is from RNAcentral. Lineage: Bacteria; Pseudomonadati; Pseudomonadota; Alphaproteobacteria.